This 529-nucleotide unclassified non-coding RNA is filed under the name Aspergillus fumigatus. RNAcentral's name for it is "sequence contains 18S rRNA gene, ITS1, 5.8S rRNA gene, ITS2, 28S rRNA gene". The stretch from base 195 to 348 matches the Rfam family "5.8S ribosomal RNA". Lineage: Eukaryota; Fungi; Ascomycota; Eurotiomycetes; Eurotiales; Aspergillaceae. The record is from RNAcentral.
GAUCAUUACCCGAGUGAGGGCCCUCUGGGUCCAACCUCCCACCCGUGUCUAUCGUACCUUGUUGCUUCGGCGGGCCCGCCGUUUCGACGGCCGCCGGGGAGGCCUUGCGCCCCCGGGCCCGCGCCCGCCGAAGACCCCAACAUGAACGCUGUUCUGAAAGUAUGCAGUCUGAGUUGAUUAUCGUAAUCAGUUAAAACUUUCAACAACGGAUCUCUUGGUUCCGGCAUCGAUGAAGAACGCAGCGAAAUGCGAUAAGUAAUGUGAAUUGCAGAAUUCAGUGAAUCAUCGAGUCUUUGAACGCACAUUGCGCCCCCUGGUAUUCCGGGGGGCAUGCCUGUCCGAGCGUCAUUGCUGCCCUCAAGCACGGCUUGUGUGUUGGGCCCCCGUCCCCCUCUCCCGGGGGACGGGCCCGAAAGGCAGCGGCGGCACCGCGUCCGGUCCUCGAGCGUAUGGGGCUUUGUCACCUGCUCUGUAGGCCCGGCCGGCGCCAGCCGACACCCAACUUUAUUUUUCUAAGGUUGACCUCGGA